UUGACCUCGAAUCAGGUAGGACUACCCGCUGAACUUAAGCAUAUCAAUAAGCGGAGGAAAAGAAACCAACAGGGAUUGCCCCAGUAACGGCGAGUGAAGCGGCAACAGCUCAAAUUUGAAAUCUGGCCCUCGGGUCCGAGUUGUAAUUUAUAGAGGAUGCUUUUGGCGAGGUGCCUUCCGAGUUCCCUGGAACGGGACGCCACAGAGGGUGAGAGCCCCGUAUGGUCGGACACCGAGCCUCUGUAAAGCUCCUUCGACGAGUCGAGUAGUUUGGGAAUGCUGCUCAAAAUGGGAGGUAUAUGUCUUCUAAAGCUAAAUAUUGGCCAGAGACCGAUAGCGCACAAGUAGAGUGAUCGAAAGAUGAAAAGCACUUUGAAAAGAGAGUUAAAAAGUA
Molecule: ribosomal RNA, 394 nt
Filed under: Beauveria brongniartii
Lineage: Eukaryota; Fungi; Ascomycota; Sordariomycetes; Hypocreales; Cordycipitaceae
Description: eukaryotic LSU rRNA
Rfam family: Eukaryotic large subunit ribosomal RNA
Source: RNAcentral